Molecule: ribosomal RNA, 404 nt
Filed under: uncultured bacterium
Lineage: Bacteria
Description: partial 16S ribosomal RNA
Rfam family: Bacterial small subunit ribosomal RNA
Source: RNAcentral
UGGGGAAUAUUGCACAAUGGGCGCAAGCCUGAUGCAGCCAUGCCGCGUGUGUGAAGAAGGCCUUCGGUUGUAAGCACUUUCAGCGAGGAGGAAGGGUAGUGUGUUAAUAGCACAUUGCAUUGACGUUACUCGCAGAAGAAGCACCGGCUAACUCCGUGCCAGCAGCCGCGGUAAUACGGAGGGUGCAAGCGUUAAUCGGAAUUACUGGGCGUAAAGCGCACGCAGGCGGUUUGUUAAGUCAGAUGUGAAAUCCCCGCGCUUAACGUGGGAACUGCAUUUGAAACUGGCAAGCUAGAGUCUUGUAGAGGGGGGUAGAAUUCCAGGUGUAGCGGUGAAAUGCGUAGAGAUCUGGAGGAAUACCGGUGGCGAAGGCGGCCCCCUGGACAAAGACAUGACGCUCAGGU